UUUAGCAAUAGAACAUUGAGAGUGACGUACGGGUGCGUAACACGUAUGCAACCUACCUUGUACAGGAGGAUAGCUCGGGGAAACUCGAAUUAACCCUCCAUAAAAUGUUUGAGUGGCAUCACAAAGACAUUAAAACGCAAGUGGUACAAGAUGGGCAUGCGUCUGAUUAGUUAGUUGGCGGGGUAACGGCCCACCAAGACGAUGAUCAGUAGGGGACCUGAGAGGGUGAUCCCCCACACUGGCACUGAGAUACGGGCCAGACUCCUACGGGAGGCAGCAGUAGGGAAUAUUGGUCAAUGGAUGGAAGUCUGAACCAGCCAUGCCGCGUGCAGGAAGAAGGCGUUAUGCGUUGUAAACUGCUUUUGCCAGGGGAUAAAAUACCGGUGCGCCGGAAAUUGAAGGUACCUGGUGAAUAAGCCACGGCUAACUACGUGCCAGCAGCCGCGGUAAUACGUAGGUGGCGAGCGUUGUCCGGAUUUAUUGGGUUUAAAGGGUGCGUAGGCGGCUUAAUAAGUCAGUGGUGAAAUAUCUCAGCUUAACUGAGAGGGUGCCAUUGAUACUGUUGAGCUUGAGUACAGACGAGGUAGGCGGAAUUGACGGUGUAGCGGUGAAAUGCAUAGAUAUCGUCAAGAACACCGAUAGUGAAGACAGCUUACUAGGCUGUAACUGACGCUGAGGCACGAAAGUGUGGGGAUCAAACAGGAUUAGAUACCCUGGUAGUCCACACUGUAAACGUUGAUGACUCGAUGUUGGCGAUACACAGCCAGCGUCCAAGAGCAAUCGUU
Molecule: ribosomal RNA, 785 nt
Filed under: uncultured bacterium
Lineage: Bacteria
Description: bacterial SSU rRNA
Rfam family: Bacterial small subunit ribosomal RNA
Source: RNAcentral